RNAcentral lists this ribosomal RNA (940 nucleotides) under Tityus serrulatus (Brazilian scorpion). Its description in RNAcentral is "16S ribosomal RNA". The stretch from base 573 to 902 matches the Rfam family "Archaeal large subunit ribosomal RNA", at positions 2148 to 2718 of the family's 2987-position model. Lineage: Eukaryota; Metazoa; Arthropoda; Arachnida; Scorpiones; Buthidae. The record is from RNAcentral.
UCUUCCCGAAAAGAAAUGAACUACUAAAAAAUUUAAUUGUCUAUUAUAAAAGAAUUAUAAUUUUAAUUGUAGAAGUAAAAUGCUUACGCAUUUCUUAAUAACUGGUUAUCUUUACCUAUAAAUUUUAUAAUUGACUAAAAUAAUUUAAUUGAGGAUAAGCUCUAUUAAUAUUAAUUAAAAAAUCACUAAACUAAAAAGGAAUAAUAUUAUCCCAAACAUUAAAAUUAAUACUUAACCUGAAAAGAAUAUUAUUAAGAUAAAAGAUUUUUAUAAAUAACAAAAAACUACAAAUGAUACUGUUAAAAUAAGUAGAAAUUGAAUAUAACACACAAUUAUAUAUUUACUAAGAACUCAUCUAAUAUUUUAAACUGUUUAACAAAAACAUUUCUUUUAGAAAAAAUUAAAAGUAUACUCUGCUCAAUGCUAAGUAAAUAGCCGCAGUAUAUUGACUGUGCAAAGGUAGCAUAAUAAUUAGUCCUUUAAUUGAGGACUGGAAUGAAAGAGUGAAUUAAAAAUAUAAUAUUUAUUAAUUAUUCCUUAAAAUUUACCUUUUAGUAAAAAGGCUAAAAUAAUCUUUAUAGACAAAAAGACCCUAUAAAUCUUCACAUUUAAUAAUUUAAAACCUAUCCAAAUGUUUUGCUGGGGCAGCUAAAAAGUAAACGUUUUUAAAUUUUAAUUAAAUUUAUAAUACCUAGAACUUCUAAAAAUUAAUCAAGAUACUUUAGGGAUAACAGCAUUUUCUAUUUUAAAAGACCAAAUUGAUAAAUAGAAACGUGACCUCGAUGUUGGAUUAAAGCUCCUUUUUUUUGCAGAAGGAAAAAAAGGAGGUCUGUUCGACCUUUAAAUCUUUCCAUGAUCUGAGUUCAAAUCGGCGUAAGCCAGAUUGGUUUCUAUCUUGAAGAAAAAUAUAAAGUAAACUAGUACGAAAGGACCUUUUACU